Molecule: transfer-messenger RNA, 338 nt
Filed under: human gut metagenome
Rfam family: transfer-messenger RNA
About the family: Bacterial tmRNA, also known as 10Sa RNA or SsrA, is named for its dual tRNA and mRNA-like properties. Its role is to liberate the mRNA from a stalled ribosome. To accomplish this part of the tmRNA is used as a reading frame that ends in a translation stop signal.
Source: RNAcentral
GGGGUAGUCAAGGUUUCGACAGGGGUUCUGAAUCUGGAGAAGCUAUCCGCAGGUGAUGCGUUAAAUCACAACCUAAAAUUAAACGCUGACAAUAGAGUAGCGUUAGCAGCCUAAGCUGCUUGUCCGACCGGUCAGACCUGCAUUUCCGGAUCCGGGCAUCAUGAACGCAGGAAACGACUGACAUUAAGCUUUGCUUGUUAGGGCGUAUUUAUGAAGCUACUAAAGGAUUAAGGAUGUAAUUCUUCGUAAUCCGGAGGGAAUGUUAAACGAAUUACUAUGAUAGUAGAAGGACAGGGGAUUUGCCUUUGGACACGGGUUCGACUCCCGUCUACUCCACU